Oreochromis niloticus (Nile tilapia) is the source of this 2259-nucleotide long non-coding RNA. RefSeq lists it as uncharacterized. The transcript is spliced from 3 exons. The record is from RefSeq and is a predicted model, not a curated record. NCBI's taxonomy places the organism in Eukaryota, Metazoa, Chordata, Actinopteri, Cichliformes, Cichlidae.
GAUUCAGGUGUGCUGGAACAACAAUGCGUCUAAAAGCUGCAGGACAGUAGGUAUGUCCCAAUUCAUAGGCCGCAUCCUUCAGAGGCCGCAAUUGAAAGCCGGUUACGUCACAGCCAGGCGACGAAGGCUGCUCCAAAUGCGUCCUUCAUUUCAUUCAGCUCUCAAGGGCUGGAGCUGGACACACCUGCUGUAGAUUAUGACAUGCCCACAGAUUGCACUGAAGUUCACACGUCAGGGAGGCUGUUAACUGAGCAAUGUGUGGGUUACAGAAGGCGCAGGAUGGAGGUAGAUAGAUGGAUGGAUACUGUUUUUUCUGUUUGAUCAAAAGGACCUUAUACAAGAACUCUUUACAACCAUGUGCAAUUAUUUUGUACAGAACACAGCACAUCUGUGAGAGAAACUUCAGGAGCUUUUGAAAAUCUCACAAUUUACCAAACCUCUCAAAGAAAAAACCCUGACAAAUUCAUUUUAAUUUGUUGUGUUUAUUUCUAGUAUGUAUAUUGAUCAAUUUUUAUUUUGUUUGCUAUCCUAUAGAGCUAUUUUGCCUCAUUUUAUGAAGCCACUUUACCUUAUUAAGCUAUUUUGUUUUGUUAUUGAAUUUUUUUUUUUUAGCAAUUUCUCAUUAUUGUAGUAAGCAUUUACCUCUCAAUAUAAACCACAUUGAGGUAACUAUAUAUAUAAAAACUGAAUUCAAUUCAAUUAAACAUUAGAAUUCUCCAGUUUUUGGGAUGAAAGUCACAUCUCACAGAUUCAAUCAGUGAUGGAACUUGGGGUCAUUGGGUAUUUCAGGCCCAGCAGGAACUGUUCAUGGAUCCAUACUCUGGAUCCAAAGCCACCCAGUAGCUUUCUCUGUGACUUCAGAUGCUCCAUUGCUAAAUGAUUGCCCUGCAAAUCCUGUUCUCUUCUCAUUGCAAUUUUAAUUUCAACAUGAUCAAUUAGUUGGUGGAUUUGAAUACGAUGAUCAUAUCUGGCUGCAUGAUGGUGUUAUUUGGGCUGUAAAAUUCAGCUGCUUGCCAAGGGACCCAUCCAUAUGCCAGCUGCUGGAGGCAGUGAGGAGGGCAGCUUUUGUUCAGCUUGUGGGUCAGGUUUCUCUCCAGCGCUAACCAUGGCAAUGGUCUUUGCCUGACGGUGGCCUCUGAUGCCUUUAAAGGCCACGGUCCUCGAUAAGGACUUAGUUAUAGUGUCAGUGAUAGAGCCCAUGUCCAAAGGUUUUUGGGUAGUUAUAUCGGUCUAUUUACUUGUAAUGUAAAAUUACAGUCAAGAAGGAGUAAAGAAGCGUUCUACAAAACAGGUUACAUGUGUCAAAACAAAUUAACUUACACAAAAUGGACUGUGAUUGCCAAUGGUCAGUCUUUUAAAUUUGUGCAUUAUAUUAUAUUAUAUUAUUAUUUCACAAAACAUCAGCCUUGUAGAAAUGUUUAGCUGAUUAAAACGUCGAAAUUAGACUGCCAUCUUCAGUUUUGUCUUUCAGCUGGUGUAGAAAUGGAUAUAAACAAAGUAGUCAUUGUGCACAACACUGUCAAAGAUUGUAUAUGUAUUAAAAGAUGGAUCACUCUGUAACAACACUGUAAUAAACAGUUUCUGCAGGCCUUGAAAAUGCACAAAAAUUUUCUUACUGAUCCAAUCAUGUCUGCAGUUAAUCUCUCAUUUAAACUUUCAUUCACUUUUUUUUUUAAUAAAUAAAACUUUACAAAAGAUCAUCUUUAAGCUCCAAUUCAGUACUUUCAGUACUCCGAUCAAGUUACACAUUGUUAGAAGAUAAAAUGUGCUAAAGGAAGCAUACGCAAUAAAUUUCCAUUCCAUUUUAAUGAGCUGUAAGAAUUUCAGUGGGAGGAAUUAUAUUUUACAAAUAAAUAAAGGAAUAUGCUGGUAUACUGACAAGUUUUUACUUUUAUUUCACACACUUUCCCCUCAUUACGUGAGAGGAGAUAAUACUACGGUUGAAGUCUUUUGCUAGGACUGUCAAGGGUUUUAAGGGUUUAAAGCUCCGAAGUCAAAAAGUUAAUCUUAUGAGUUGCAUUUCUAGAUUAAUGUAUGUAGUAUUGUAGAAGUAAUUAUUUUGACUGUGGCUGCUGAGCUCCUGGUGCUGUCCCUUCUGUGUGUUGUGCUCCAACAACUUAAGAAUUAAUUGGGUCACUUUAUUAAUAAUUCAGCAGGAUUCAGUGCUAAUAACUCACACACAACAUAAACAGAAGUGGAACUCGUAUUCACUUUGUUUUAAACUAAACUAAACUGACCCAUUAAAAUAAUAGUAUCUAC